This 547-nucleotide ribosomal RNA is filed under the name uncultured bacterium. RNAcentral's name for it is "bacterial SSU rRNA". It matches the Rfam family "Bacterial small subunit ribosomal RNA", at positions 777 to 1319 of the family's 1533-position model. The record is from RNAcentral.
AAUAGAUACCCGGGUAGGUCCACGCCGUAAACGAUGAGUGCUAAGUGUUGGGGGGUUUCCGCCCCUCAGUGCUGCAGCUAACGCAUUAAGCACUCCGCCUGGGGAGUACGGUCGCAAGACUGAAACUCAAAGGAAUUGACGGGGGGCCCGCACAAGCGGUGGAGCAUGUGGUUUAAUUCGAAGCAACGCGAAGAACCUUACCAGGUCUUGACAUCCCGGUGACCACUAUGGAGACAUAGUUUCCCCUUCGGGGGGCAACGGUGACAGGUGGUGCAUGGUUGUCGUCAGCUCGUGUCGUGAGAUGUUGGGUUAAGUCCUGCAACGAGCGCAACCCUUAUUCUUAAUUGCCAUCAUUCAGUUGGGCACUCUAAGGAGACUGCCGGUGAUAAACCGGAGGAAGGUGGGGAUGACGUCAAAUCAUCAUGCCCCUUAUGACCUGGGCUACACACGUGCUACAAUGGACGGUACAAACGGUUGCCAACCCGCGAGGGGGAGCUAAUCCGAUAAAACCGUUCUCAGUUCGGAUUGUAGGCUGCAACUCGCCUAC